RNAcentral lists this ribosomal RNA (490 nucleotides) under Streptomyces sp. Its description in RNAcentral is "bacterial SSU rRNA". It matches the Rfam family "Bacterial small subunit ribosomal RNA", at positions 106 to 610 of the family's 1533-position model. Lineage: Bacteria; Bacillati; Actinomycetota; Actinomycetes; Kitasatosporales; Streptomycetaceae. The record is from RNAcentral.
GUGAGUAACACGUGGGCAAUCUGCCCUGCACUCUGGGACAAGCCCUGGAAACGGGGUCUAAUACCGGAUAUGACUGUCCAUCGCAUGGUGGAUGGUGUAAAGCUCCGGCGGUGCAGGAUGAGCCCGCGGCCUAUCAGCUUGUUGGUGAGGUAGUGGCUCACCAAGGCGACGACGGGUAGCCGGCCUGAGAGGGCGACCGGCCACACUGGGACUGAGACACGGCCCAGACUCCUACGGGAGGCAGCAGUGGGGAAUAUUGCACAAUGGGCGAAAGCCUGAUGCAGCGACGCCGCGUGAGGGAUGACGGCCUUCGGGUUGUAAACCUCUUUCAGCAGGGAAGAAGCGAAAGUGACGGUACCUGCAGAAGAAGCGCCGGCUAACUACGUGCCAGCAGCCGCGGUAAUACGUAGGGCGCAAGCGUUGUCCGGAAUUAUUGGGCGUAAAGAGCUCGUAGGCGGCUUGUCACGUCGGUUGUGAAAGCCCGGGGCUU